Non-coding RNA from Biomphalaria pfeifferi, 912 nucleotides. NCBI's taxonomy places the organism in Eukaryota, Metazoa, Mollusca, Gastropoda, Planorbidae. The record is from the annotation of a GenBank genome assembly.
CUUUAAAAAAAGCAUUUUAAUUUUGCACAAGUCAAAACUUGUCCAGCUGUUUGGAAACUACAGUAAUGAGAAAUAUGUUUUAAAACAUAACCCUUUUUUUGUUUUAUUCAUUAUAAAGAAAUCAACAAAAAAAAAAUGACCAUGUUUGUUAAUGACUUCUUAUUAAGUGCAUUGCCUAAGGAGAACCAAAAUUUUUUUUAAAAUAUGGUUGUAAAAUUGUAGUAAAAUAAAAUACAAAAACUUUGUACAAAAUAAAUCUUGAAAAACAAAAAUAUAUAUAAAUGCAAAUCAAUGAUUGGACUUCAUCAAAUUAAUACUUCUAUUACUCCAUUGAGCAUAGGUUAGACCUUUUUUUUAAAAAAAUAUUGCACUCAAUAAAAAAAAAAAGACUUGAAAAACUUGAGUCAAUAGCCAAAGUGACUGUGGCCUACAAUAAAACUGAUGUUUGUCAAGUGUUUGGACUACAGCAGACAGAGAAAAAGAGAAGAGCAUGUUCACAUCACAUUGCAGAGAGGAAACCUUUUCAACAGACGACUAAACAUACAAUAAUCUUUUCAUUGAUGAAUUUUUAAAUCCAGAUCAACUAACAAAAUCACAGUUAUCUGUCAUAUAAAAACUGUCAUCAAUCUACCAUCAGGAAACAGAAACAUAACCUUAUUUGAACACCCUGGCAAGUGAAGACAUGAGACACAUGGUGAUGUAUAGUCUACUAUUUCAUUCUACACUUGGGGUGUAGUUAAGUGUUUCUGAUCACAAUUAGCUAUUUAAAAACAUUGGAGAGCAUAAAAACAUUUUUUUUCAUUACAAGAUAGCAUUGCAAUCAUUGGACUACAACUCAAAGUAGGCCUAUGCUGUUGCUAGACAAACAAUAGACUAGAGCUCAGUAGACUUAUGUUGUUGCUAGACAAACAC